AAGAACCUUGCCAAUCGAAUUGGCUAUAAAUUUGAUUUAGCUCAAGCAAGAAAGGGAGCUUUUGAGCAGUUGAACAAUAUGCUGGGACUAUCGAUGAACUAUAAGUUUGAUGCUUGUGAGCUCCUUUGUUAGGUCCGGAGGGUCUCGAAUAGGUGUAUGGAGGGGGAGGGGGGGGAAUACACCUAUGGGCUAUUUUUGUUUCCUCUAAAAACAGAGGGAUCUCAGGAUAGAGAUCAAAAUGAAACUUUACAUGCAAACUAUGACACCUGUUGACUGAAAAGAGUUUUGACCAAACAUAGUUGACGACUGAUACUGAAAGAUCUUCAGUAAGGAGUUAUCAGUUAAGUUACUGGAACUUAACUGAUACACGUAGAGGCUUCAGUCGAGUUCGCUAAAACAGAGAUGAUAUAAAUCUUCCUAACUAUCAGAGGAUAGAUCAGUCAGGCUGAUAUCAUACGCAGCGAAAAUAACUUUGUUUCGUAAUAGCCUCGGUUGAGCACGUUGUUAGUCUUAGGUUUCUCUUUGCAGUUAUUCAGUAUUUAGUUUAUCAAAAGUAAGAACAUAAUUAAGAGUGUAAAGACUGAAAGCUGUAAAUAAUACAGAGACUUUUACGUGGUUCGGAAAACACUUUCCUACAUCCAUGGUCGGUUGAUCAGACCAACAAUCCACUCCGCAAGUGCUUAACUGGUGCACUGCAAACCGAACCGUGUGCUUGCCGGGUGCACACAACCGUUUCACUGAAGAGUCCACUCUUCAGUACCCACACUUCACUCGUGUCGGAUUUCUCACUCUCAGCACAACCCGUGCUAAGAACUCUCAGAGUCAGAGUACCUUCCUGAACUCCGAAUCACUCAAACACUCGACUUCUUUCUUUUCGAAAGGAGGUUUGAACAACUUGCCAACUGUACUUCAAAGAACAAGUUCUUUGGAGCAAGUUUGACCUAGGCUUCUGGGUAAACAGAGGAUUGCCUAAGGUCUAAGAGAAUGUGUGUAAUCAGCAGUGACUGAUUUUUGGCUUUGGAAUUCUCUUCUUCGAUUCAAGCUUUAGGGAGGUUAAGCUUUGGGCUGAGUAGCAAUUUUGGCAGAGCUUCAGCUUAUGUCAUUGAAUCGGUGAAGAUUGAAGUGAUCCUUGAACACUAUUUAUAGGACAAGUCUUGAAUAGAUCUGUUGGCGGAGAACGUCUUCAAGAUUUCUUCCGUUGGAGAGCAUUUCGAAUUUGGGCUGAGGCUUCAAUCUUCAAGGUUCCUUGUUUGGUGGGAACGACUAUCUUGAAGAGCAGAAGAUGUGACGUCUCUGAUAAAGUAGCCACCAAAUAGGAAUGACCUCUGCAGAGAGGGACGAUCCUGAGAUCUCUGCAUUUAAUGCGGCUGUACUAUGUGAGCACGUGGCUUCCUUUGAACGUUGGAAGUUCAGUUCGAGGAAGAACGUUGGUAUCAUCAAAACAAGACAUGAUAUUCCAUGGGGUUCCCAACAUCCUUGCAUUCAAAGUCGAGCGUCUCGAAAUCUUCAUAAGUCUGCCCGAAAAUGCUAGGGCACGGUACAUGGUGCAUAUUCUGCAGGCUAAGGGGAAUUGAGAUGGUGUGGUUGGAAUUCUUUUUUGCGUAAUUAAAAAAACUGCUAAACCUCUGGGUUUUUUUUUAUGCCAUGAAUUAAAACAUUGCAGUCACGGUUGUUUGGUGUAAAAUUGUAUAUGCAGCCACUGGAAGAAUGUACUUUUUUGUUUGUUUGUAAAACUCUACUUUUAAUAGAUGUGGUAUAAAUCAAGCAAUA
Molecule: long non-coding RNA, 1770 nt
Filed under: Salvia miltiorrhiza (redroot sage)
Lineage: Eukaryota; Viridiplantae; Streptophyta; Magnoliopsida; Lamiales; Lamiaceae
Description: long non-coding RNA (SMIL_LNC002215)
Source: RNAcentral